Molecule: ribosomal RNA, 775 nt
Filed under: uncultured Neocallimastigales
Lineage: Eukaryota; Fungi; Neocallimastigomycota; Neocallimastigomycetes; Neocallimastigales
Description: partial large subunit ribosomal RNA
Rfam family: Eukaryotic large subunit ribosomal RNA
Source: RNAcentral
CAUCACUACGCUAGAUGCAUAUCAAUAAGCGGAGGAAAAGAAACUAACAAGGAUUCCCCUAGUAACGGCGAGUGAAGCGGGAAGGGCUCAAAUUUGAAAUCUUAAAGAGUUUCCCUUUACGAAUUGUAGUUUGAAGAAGUGUUUUCUGUUGGAGUUUUGGUAAAAGUUCUUUGGAAUAGGACAUCAUAGAGGGUGAGAAUCCCGUAUUUGACCAUUAUUUCCAACUUUGUGAUACACUUUCAAAGAGUCGGAUUGUUUGGGAAUGCAGUCCAAAAUGGGUGGUAAAUUUCAUCUAAAGCUAAAUACUGGCGAGAGACCGAUAGCGAACAAGUACCGUGAGGGAAAGAUGAAAAGAACUUUGAAAAGAGAGUUAAACAGUACGUGGAAUUGUCAAAAGGGAAGCGUUUGACACCAGUGUUGUUUUCUCGAAAAUCAAUUAAAAAUGGCAGGAUUUUGUGUUGUAUUGACUUUAUCAGCUUUCAGCACUUUUUUUCUUGUCUUUUUUAAUGCACUUUUCGUUUAACAAGUCAACAUCAGUUUCUUUUGUUGUAAAAGGGUCAUUGGAAGGUGGCUUUCUUUUCGGAGAAAGUGUUUAUAACCUUUUACCUCUGCAAUCGGAGAGAUUGAGGACAGCAGCGUAGACUCUUCGGGGUUAGAUACAUAUAUGCUAAGCUAUAGCCUUGUAUAGACAACUUGUUGACUAUGCUCAGUCAUGUAGCUUACUCGUAGAUGCUAUUUUACCUACGCUUAGGAUGUUGAUAUGCAUGACUGAUAU